GAUGAACGCUGGCGGCGUGCCUAAUACAUGCAAGUCGAGCGAACAGACGAGGAGCUUGCUCCUCUGACGUUAGCGGCGGACGGGUGAGUAACACGUGGAUAACCUACCUAUAAGACUGGGAUAACUUCGGGAAACCGGAGCUAAUACCGGAUAAUAUCUUGAACCGCAUGGUUCAAUAGUGAAAGACGGUCUUGCUGUCACUUAUAGAUGGAUCCGCGCUGCAUUAGCUAGUUGGUAAGGUAACGGCUUACCAAGGCAACGAUGCGUAGCCGACCUGAGAGGGGGAUAGGCGACACUGGAACUGAGACACGGUCCAGGGGCCUACGGGAGGCAGCAGUAGGGAAUCGUCGGCAAUGGGGGGAAGCCUGACGGAGCGGCGCGGCGUGAGUGAUGGAGGUGUUGGGAUCGUAAAACUGUGUUAUUGGGGAAGAACAGAUGUGGAAGUAACUGUGGACAGCGUGACGGUACCUGAUCAGAAAGCCACGGCUAACUACGUG
This 497-nucleotide ribosomal RNA is filed under the name uncultured bacterium. Its description in RNAcentral is "partial 16S ribosomal RNA". It matches the Rfam family "Bacterial small subunit ribosomal RNA", at positions 28 to 507 of the family's 1533-position model. The record is from RNAcentral.